GGCCGCCAUCUCCUCCGCCCUUCACCAAGGGCCGCCGGGAGCCUCGGCUAGGUCCGGCCCCUGUGACCGGAGGCGGCCGAGAGGCGAAGGGAGCUCUGCCGGAGGGAGAUGAGGGUCUGCCGGCUUCAGGCUUUUUUUGUUUUCUAAAAAGGAGAGGUGGAAUGCUAAGCAACCACGGUCUGUAAUUCCUCCCACGCUGGCACAAAGCAAAUGCAGGGAAGGUGUCGCGGGCCCCACCUUGCAGAUGCACUCUGCAACAAGUUUAUGAAGCCUAGCGUGAGUCUCCCGCUGGUCACUUCAGUGGUUACAGCCCCAAAUUCUUCAGCUCGAGCGGCACCAGUCUCAGGCCGUCAUGCUGCAAGACUACUGUUAAACUGCCUCUAAUCCUAAAAGUUCAAGACAUGAAGGCUUUGCCUGAGAAACUUGGGAAACACUCGGUACAAAGUAACAGGCUUCAGUGACUAACUACAGCAUCUACUGUAUAAAUUAUAUCAUGAGAAAGUGAAAGACUUGAUUUUUUUAACAGGGAGCUUAUGUAUGUGGAAAGCAGAUGCUGGUUACAGGCACACAUGGUGACAGUCCAGUUUGGCAGACCCAUCUCUUAAAAUCACAAUUACUGUGCUAAAAUCUGCCUGGGAGUAUCAGCCCCGACUGGAUUCCCAUCAUGUGUCCUUGGCACAAAUAUCAAAAAACACUAUUGGGUCCAACAAUAGUCGUGAUUUGUCUAUACCAUAUGAAUAUCAGCUGAAUAUUUAGCUGUUUUUAAACAAAAGGAUUACAAGUCCCAUUCAAGCAAUACUUGAACAGUUUGAUCUCUGCUUAAAGGAAAGAUUUUUUCUUCCUUCCUAGCCCUACAUGAGGAUCACUCACCUUAACUGCUUGUACUGGUAUAAUUUUACUUAGCCACAUACACAAAUGAGCAGAAAGGUGACACUUCAGAUUUGAAAACAGCUUAAAACAGCUGCAGUAGUAUGGAAAAUGAACCACUCACUGAAGUCAGGAAAAGAGAAGAAAAGGGACUUAAACAGGUGGAGGAAAGGUUGAUUUCAGGUAGACUGAAGGAGUAGAAAAGAGAAGAGAAAAUUAAGAUUAUUGAGGCAGCCAUUACAGCAUAGAGAAUGAAACAGAGAGGACCAGGGCAGUGUAAAGCAGAGCCUCUGACUACAGCAAGUCCAAGGUAACUGAACAGCAAACAAAAGAAUUACAAUAGGUGAAACAAAGGACUUCAGGACGCAAACAUGGUUGAUAGAACAACUGCUGAAGUGCUGAACUGCUGGUUGUACUGAGGGUAAAACCGAGCACAAAACCACCAUGAAGAACAGAUCUAACUGGGAGAAGCUGAUAAAAGCAAUAUCAAGAAUGCAACGAAAAUCAGCUGUGUAUUUAUGGAGAUGGGGAGAGCCUUUCUAGAAUAAUUAUUAAAACACAGGAAUCUCAACAAGGUUUUGUAAAAAAGUUAUUCACUGCCUUUGUACUUUAGAGCUCACAAAGGAGAAAAGCAGAUAAUAAAAUGUCAUAUUUACAAGAAACUCAGCACUUGGUAUGUGUAACAUCAGUUUCUACUAAAUGUAAGAGGCAUUGAAAAUAAAGGUUUAAGCAAACUGCAUCAGAAACGCAGCUUCUUAGUACAUG
Oxyura jamaicensis (ruddy duck) is the source of this 1632-nucleotide long non-coding RNA. RefSeq lists it as uncharacterized. The record is from RefSeq and is a predicted model, not a curated record. The transcript has 4 exons. NCBI's taxonomy places the organism in Eukaryota, Metazoa, Chordata, Aves, Anseriformes, Anatidae.